AGUGAACGCUGGCGGUAGGCCUAACACAUGCAAGUCGAACGGCAGCACAGUAAGAGCUUGCUCUUACGGGUGGCGAGUGGCGGACGGGUGAGGCAUACAUCGGAAUCUACUUUUUCGUGGGGGAUAACGUAGGGAAACUUACGCUAAUAGCGCAUACGACCUACGGGUGAAAGCAGGGGAUCUUCGGACCUUUCCCGUUUGUAUUAGCCGAUGUCGGAUUAGCUAGUUGGCGGGGUAAGGGACCACCAAGGCAACGAUACGUAGCUGAUCUGAGAGGAUGAUCAGCCACACUGGAACUGAGACACGGUCCAGACUCCUACGGGAGGCAGCAGUAGGGAAUAUUGGGCAAUGGGCGCAAGCCUGAUGCAGCAAUACCGCGUGGGUGAAGAAGGCCUUCGGGUCGUAAAGCCCUGUUAUUGGGAAAGAAAAGCAGCAGAUUAAUACCCCGCUGUUCUGACGGUACCCAAACAAUAAGCACCGGCUAACUUCGUG
This 492-nucleotide ribosomal RNA is filed under the name uncultured bacterium. RNAcentral's name for it is "partial 16S ribosomal RNA". It matches the Rfam family "Bacterial small subunit ribosomal RNA", at positions 29 to 507 of the family's 1533-position model. The record is from RNAcentral.